Non-coding RNA from Phrynosoma platyrhinos (Desert horned lizard), 74 nucleotides. The record is from the annotation of a GenBank genome assembly. Lineage: Eukaryota; Metazoa; Chordata; Lepidosauria; Squamata; Phrynosomatidae.
GCCAGCAUGGCAUAGUGGUUUGCUAGCGUCGGACUAUGACUCUGAAGACCAGUGUUCAAUUCCCAGCUCGGCCA